RNAcentral lists this ribosomal RNA (563 nucleotides) under Agalychnis lemur (lemur leaf frog). Its description in RNAcentral is "Hylomantis lemur (lemur leaf frog) partial 16S ribosomal RNA". It matches the Rfam family "Bacterial large subunit ribosomal RNA", at positions 1825 to 2597 of the family's 2925-position model. The record is from RNAcentral. Lineage: Eukaryota; Metazoa; Chordata; Amphibia; Anura; Hylidae.
CGCCUCAUGAAAAACCUAUAAGAGGUCCAGCCUGCCCAGUGACUCUGUUCAACGGCCGCGGUAUCCUAACCGUGCGAAGGUAGCGUAAUCACUUGUUCUUUAAAUAAGGACUAGUAUGAAUGGCACCACGAAGGUUAUACUGUCUCCUUUUUCCAAUCAGUGAAACUAAUCUUCCCGUGAAGAAGCGGGAAUAAUCUUAUAAGACGAGAAGACCCUAUGGAGCUUUAAAUUAUCAACAAUUAUCUUUUUUUAAUUUUACUAAAACAGAAUCAAUUCUGAUAAUAUGAUUGUUAAUUUUCGGUUGGGGUGACCGCGGAGUAAAAUUUAUCCUCCACGAUGAACAGGACAUGCUCCUAAACAAAGAAUUACAAUUCAAAGCAUCAAAAAAAUUGACAUUAUUGACCCAAUACUUUGAUCAACGAACCAAGUUACCCUAGGGAUAACAGCGCAAUCUAUCUUAAGAGUUCAUAUCGACAGAUAGGCUUACGACCUCGAUGUUGGAUCAGGGUAUCCCAGUGGUGCAGCCGCUACUAAAGGUUCGUUUGUUCAACGAUUAAAACCCU